This 1297-nucleotide ribosomal RNA is filed under the name metagenome. Its description in RNAcentral is "bacterial LSU rRNA". It matches the Rfam family "Bacterial large subunit ribosomal RNA", at positions 1636 to 2925 of the family's 2925-position model. The record is from RNAcentral.
GCACGACCGUACCGCAAACCGACACAGGUGCGCGAGAUGAGUAUUCUAAGGCGCUUGAGAGAACUCAGGAGAAGGAACUCGGCAAAUUGACACCGUAACUUCGGAAGAAGGUGUGCCUUUAGUAGGUGAACCUGUACAAGGGGAGCCCAAUGAGGUUGCAAAAAAUCGGUGGCUGCGACUGUUUAAUAAAAACACAGCACUCUGCAAACACGAAAGUGGACGUAUAGGGUGUGACGCCUGCCCGGUGCUGGAAGAUUAAAUGAUGGGGUGCAAGCUCUUGAUUGAAGUCCCAGUAAACGGCGGCCGUAACGAUAACGGUCCUAAGGUAGCGAAAUUCCUUGUCGGGUAAGUUCCGACCUGCACGAAUGGCGUAACGAUGGCCACACUGUCUCCUCCUGAGACUCAGCGAAGUUGAAAUGUUUGUGAUGAUGCAAUCUCCCCGCGGAAAGACGGAAAGACCCCAUGAACCUUUACUGUAGCUUUGUAUUGGACUUUGAACAGAUCUGUGUAGGAUAGGUGGGAGGCUUUGAAGUGUGGUCGCUAGAUCGCAUGGAGCCAACGUUGAAAUACCACCCUGGUGUGUUUGAGGUUCUAACCUAGGCCCGUAAUCCGGGUCGGGGACAGUGCAUGGUAGGCAGUUUGACUGGGGCGGUCUCCUCCCAAAGCGUAACGGAGGAGUUCGAAGGUACGCUAGGUACGGUCGGACAUCGUGCUAAUAGUGCAAUGGCAUAAGCGUGCUUAACUGCGAGACUGACAAGUCGAGCAGAUGCGAAAGCAGGACAUAGUGAUCCGGUGGUUCUGUAUGGAAGGGCCAUCGUUCAACGGAUAAAAGGUACUCUGGGGAUAACAGGCUGAUACCGCCCAAGAGUUCAUAUCGACGGCGGUGUUUGGCACCUCGAUGUCGGCUCAUCUCAUCCUGGGGCUGUAGCCGGUCCCAAGGGUAUGGCUGUUCGCCAUUUAAAGAGGUACGUGAGCUGGGUUUAAAACGUCGUGAGACAGUUUGGUCCCUAUCUUCCGUGGGCGCUGCAGAUUUGAGGAAGCCUGCUCCUAGUACGAGAGGACCGGAGUGGACACACCUCUGGUGUAUCGGUUGUCACGCCAGUGGCAUUGCCGAGUAGCUAUGUGUGGAAGAGAUAACCGCUGAAAGCAUCUAAGCGGGAAACUCGUUUCAAGAUGAGAUCUGCCGGGGCCUUGAGCCCCCUAAAGAGUCGUUCAAGACCAGGACGUUGAUAGGUCGGGUGUGGAAGCGCAGUAAUGCGUUAAGCUAACCGAUACUAAUUGCUCGUGCGGCUUGACC